Molecule: ribosomal RNA, 445 nt
Filed under: uncultured bacterium
Lineage: Bacteria
Description: bacterial SSU rRNA
Rfam family: Bacterial small subunit ribosomal RNA
Source: RNAcentral
AACGAACGCUGGCGGCGGGCCUCAUACAUGCAAGUCGAGCGCGAAAGUCCUUCGGAGUGAGUAAAGACGGCGCACGGGUGAGUAACACGUGGAUAAUCUACCCCUUCGGAUUGGAAUAACCUGUCGAAAGACGGGCUAAUGCCGAGUGAGCUUACGAGGUCGUGAUGGCCUUGUACGGAAAGAUGGCGCAAGCUAUCGCCGAGGGAUGAGUCUGCGUCCCAUUAGUUAGUUGGUGAGGUAAUGGCUUACCAAGACAAUGAUGGGUACCUGGUCUGAGAGGAUGAUCAGGCACACUAGAACUGAAACACGGUCCAGACUCCUACGGGAGGCAGCAGUAGGGAAUAUUGCGCAAUGGGCGAAAGCCUGAAGCAGCAACGCCGCGUGUGCGAUGAAGGCCUCGGUCGUAAGACGACUUUCUUAAGUAAGAUAGAGAAAGGAACGAAGU